ACUUAAAUAAUUUAAAUAAAAUAAUGAUUUGUGGAGUCAAAAAUAUGAGAAAUUCAUUUUAGGUC
This 65-nucleotide transfer RNA is filed under the name Athyma sinope. Its description in RNAcentral is "Pandita sinope tRNA-His". The record is from RNAcentral. Lineage: Eukaryota; Metazoa; Arthropoda; Insecta; Lepidoptera; Nymphalidae.